Molecule: transfer RNA, 77 nt
Filed under: Microbulbifer aggregans
Lineage: Bacteria; Pseudomonadati; Pseudomonadota; Gammaproteobacteria; Cellvibrionales; Microbulbiferaceae
Description: tRNA-Asp
Rfam family: tRNA
About the family: Transfer RNA (tRNA) molecules are approximately 80 nucleotides in length. Their secondary structure includes four short double-helical elements and three loops (D, anti-codon, and T loops).
Source: RNAcentral
GCCCUGUUAGCAUAGCGGCCCAAUGCACUCGCCUGUCGAGCGAUAGAUCACCGGUUCGAAUCCGGUACAGGGCGCCA